This 603-nucleotide ribosomal RNA is filed under the name uncultured bacterium. RNAcentral describes it as "bacterial SSU rRNA". The stretch from base 1 to 521 matches the Rfam family "Bacterial small subunit ribosomal RNA", at positions 338 to 873 of the family's 1533-position model. The record is from RNAcentral.
CCUACGGGAGGCAGCAGUGGGGAAUCUUGCGCAAUGGGCGAAAGCCUGACGCAGCCAUGCCGCGUGAAUGAUGAAGGUCUUAGGAUUGUAAAAUUCUUUCACCGGGGACGAUAAUGACGGUACCCGGAGAAGAAGCCCCGGCUAACUUCGUGCCAGCAGCCGCGGUAAUACGAAGGGGGCUAGCGUUGCUCGGAAUUACUGGGCGUAAAGGGAGCGUAGGCGGAUAGUUUAGUCAGAGGUGAAAGCCCAGGGCUCAACCUUGGAAUUGCCUUUGAUACUGGCUAUCUUGAGUGUGGGAGAGGUAUGUGGAACUCCGAGUGUAGAGGUGAAAUUCGUAGAUAUUCGGAAGAACACCAGUGGCGAAGGCGACAUACUGGCCCAUUACUGACGCUGAGGCUCGAAAGCGUGGGGAGCAAACAGGAUUAGAUACCCUGGUAGUCCACGCUGUAAACGAUGAGUGCUAGUUGUCGGUCGAUGCAUGCAUGUCGGUUGACGCAGCGUACGCAUUAAGACACUCCGCCGUCGGGUAGGUACGGUCGCGAGAGUAAACUACGAAGAAGUAGACGCGUGAGACGUGCCGACGGACGACGACGAGGGAGGAGG